Cervus elaphus (red deer) is the source of this 150-nucleotide long non-coding RNA. RefSeq lists it as uncharacterized. NCBI's taxonomy places the organism in Eukaryota, Metazoa, Chordata, Mammalia, Artiodactyla, Cervidae. The record is from RefSeq and is a predicted model, not a curated record. The transcript has 3 exons.
CUUCAUUCUUUCUGGAGAGAUUAAUAAUUGCCCUCUGCUCUUCCCCAAUAGCAUGUUGGACACCUUACGACCUGGAGGACUCAUCAUCUGGUGUCAUAUCUUUUUGCCUUUUCAUACUGGUCAUGUGGCUUUCUUGAAACAAGGAAUAUU